UCGCAAUAUACCGGUAUUGACGAUAACCGUGAUAUUCAAAGCAUGAAAUAUCGAUAUCGUGUUAAUUUAGGGUGUGAUGAUAUAUCGGUAUUGACGAUAACCACAAUAUUUAAAAUGAAUAGGACGCUUAUGAUAUCAUGACAUGUAAAUACUCCAGCGCCAGUACCUGGUUGAGCUCUCAGGUGGCAGUAUUGCACCUUAACGCUGACACCUGUCAAACAAGAAGAAGAUGCAUCGCGCGCAGCUAUUCCGAGCGGGAGAGUGAGAGGCUCUGUCCACACCCGAAAAAAGUAAAUAAGCUCGACAGUAUGGGAGUUUUUCGGUUCCUUAGACAGUCCGAUCCGCAGGAUUUGCCUAGCUACAGUCAGUGCGAAGGGUGGAAACACCACCAACCUUUUUACCCACCUCCGUGUCCAUCACCCUGCGGAUUACGCCAUUUUACAGAGAACUCUUGGUGGCGUGGAUGUCUCCCGUUACCUCGUUGAUGAUGAAAAUACUUCCUGCUCCUUCACCACUAAGGAUGUACCUGACCGAACCAUCGCCUUUGUCUGAAUUAGAAUGCAGCUGAAAUGAGAGACAAAGAAACAUUGAAGAAAGAAACUCAUACAGGUUUGCAACAACAUGAGGGUGAGUAAAUUUUUUGAUGAACUAUCCCUUUAAUUGCACAGGGAUAGUUCAUUAUAUUACAGUAGAUGUUUUAGCAGUUACAACCAGUAAACCAUAUAAGACUGGUUUAAGCUGUUUGAAACUUUAUUUCAAAAUAAAGGUACAUAACUAAAAGCUUGCUAGAAAAAUCACUAAGAAAAAUAUGGCAGAUUUCAAAUCGCAUACUUCCUGCGAUAGCCAAGCAACUGCUAUUACGAUGCAUGUGAAUGCUAACGGAUAUCUUUCUCCAGGUAUGAUAACCAUGCUCAUUUCCAGCAUAUUUUGGUGUCCUUCCUGACCGCUCACCUUCAUAAAUACAAUCAUUCCAACAUGAUUUGAAGGCAGCAAGUAAUAAUGUCUGUCUCUUCUUCUAUCUUUCUCUGUCUGCACGUCUGUCUCUCUUUUCCCUGCAUUACCCUAUGCUUGAGUACCCUGAAUACUGAUCAACUGCCACACAUUUACAUAUUUCUGAAGAUAAGAGAAGUCAGUACACAGACAACUUAACCAGCUUCCUACAGCCUCUUUGUGCAGCGCUUCAGUAGAGAGACGUAAAGCACAUGGACAUGACCUGCUGAAUCAAUCUCCGCUUCAGAAAGAGAGAGAAGAUACACAAAGAGAAUAAAAGGAGGACACUGGGAUGGAGCCAUGCCUCCCCGCUAACAGUCUCACAGUACCCAUUAAACAACGUUUAUUGAAUCAAUUUACAAUGCGUAAUGCAGUUUUUGAGUACUGGGGAGCUCAAGGACAGUGGCAGUGUGUCUUUCAUUGAGCUUCUACUGUUAUGUGAAUGGGCUCUGGUGAUACUGAAUAUCUGUUCAUAGCUGGCAAAUGGAUUCCAAAUUAAAAUGUACAAUCAUCCGCA
Long non-coding RNA from Megalobrama amblycephala (Wuchang bream), 1507 nucleotides. RefSeq lists it as uncharacterized. Lineage: Eukaryota; Metazoa; Chordata; Actinopteri; Cypriniformes; Xenocyprididae. The transcript has 3 exons. The record is from RefSeq and is a predicted model, not a curated record.